GACGAACGCUGGCGGUGUGCUUAACACAUGCAAGUCGAACGGUAAGGCCCUUUCGGGGGUACACGAGUGGCGAACGGGUGCGUAACACGUGAGUAACCUGCCCUCAUCUCUGGGAUAACAGUCGGAAACGGUUGCUAAUACUGGAUAUGAGCUUGCAUGGCAUCUUGUGGGUUGGAAAGAUUUUUUUUGGUUGGGGAUGGACUCGCGGCCUAUCAGCUUGUUGGUGAGGUAGUGGCUCACCAAGGCUUCGACGGGUAGCCGGCCUGAGAGGGCGACCGGCCACAUUGGGACUGAGAUACGGCCCAAACUCCUACGGGAGGCAGCAGUGGGGAAUAUUGCACAAUGGACGGAAGUCUGAUGCAGCAACGCCGCGUGCGGGAUGACGGCCUUCGGGUUGUAAACCGCUUUCAAUUGUGACGAAGCUUUUUUGUGACGGUAGCAGUAGAAGAAGCACCGGCUAACUACGUG
Molecule: ribosomal RNA, 468 nt
Filed under: uncultured bacterium
Lineage: Bacteria
Description: partial 16S ribosomal RNA
Rfam family: Bacterial small subunit ribosomal RNA
Source: RNAcentral